UACAGAGGUCUCGAGCGUUAGGCGGAGUCACUGGGCUUAAAGCGUGUGUAGGCGGAUCGUUAAGUGCCUUGUGAAAUCCCUCGGCUCAACUGAGGAUCGUCGAUCGAUACUGCCGUUCUUGAGGAUUGCAGAGGAGACUGGAAUUCCCGGUGUAGCGGUGAAAUGUGUAGAGAUCGGGAGGAACACCGGUGGCGAAGGCGGGUCUCUGGGCAAUUCCUGACGCUGAGGCGCGAAAGCGUGGGGAGCAAACGGG
Molecule: ribosomal RNA, 253 nt
Filed under: uncultured bacterium
Lineage: Bacteria
Description: partial 16S ribosomal RNA
Rfam family: Bacterial small subunit ribosomal RNA
Source: RNAcentral